Molecule: ribosomal RNA, 395 nt
Filed under: uncultured soil bacterium
Lineage: Bacteria
Description: bacterial SSU rRNA
Rfam family: Bacterial small subunit ribosomal RNA
Source: RNAcentral
AGAACGAACGCUGGCGGCAGGCUUAACACAUGCAAGUCGAGCGCCCCGCAAGGGGAGCGGCAGACGGGUGAGUAACGCGUGGGAAUCUACCCAUCACUACGGAACAACUCCGGGAAUCUGGAGCUAAUACCGUAUACGUCCUUCGGGAGAAAGAUUUAUCGGUGAUGGAUGAGCCCGCGUUGGAUUAGCUAGUUGGUGGGGUAAUGGCCUACCAAGGCGACGAUCCAUAGCUGGUCUGAGAGGAUGAUCAGCCACAUUGGGACUGAGACACGGCCCAAACGUCCUACGGGAGGCAGCAGUGGGAAUAUUGGACAAUGGGCGAAAGCCUGAUCCAGCCAUGCCGCGUGAGUGAUGGAACGGCCCGUAGGGUUGUAAAGCUUACGUUACAACGGGUU